RNAcentral lists this ribosomal RNA (253 nucleotides) under uncultured bacterium. RNAcentral describes it as "partial 16S ribosomal RNA". It matches the Rfam family "Bacterial small subunit ribosomal RNA", at positions 524 to 776 of the family's 1533-position model. The record is from RNAcentral.
GACAGAGGUCCCGAGCGUUGUUCGGAUUCAUUGGGCGUAAAGGGUGUGUAGGAGGCUAGGUAAGUCAGGUGUGAAAUCUCAGAGCUUAACUCUGAAACUGCGCUUGAUACUGCUUGGCUAGAGGAUCGGAGGGGGUAACGGAAUUUAUGGUGUAGCAGUGAAAUGCGUAGAUAUCAUAAGGAACACCGGUGGCGAAGGCGGGUCUCUGGGCCGAAACUGACGCUGAGGAGCGAAAGCGUGGGUAGCAAACGGG